UGGGGAUUAUUGGACAAUGGGCGAAAGCCUGAUCCAGCAAUGCCGCGUGUGUGAAGAAGGCCUUCGGGUUGUAAAGCACUUUCAGUGGGAAAGAAAAGCUAAGUGCUAAUAUCACUUAGCCUUGACGUUACCCAAAGAAGAAGCACCGGCUAACUCCGUGCCAGCAGCCGCGGUAAUACGGAGGGUGCAAGCGUUAAUCGGAAUUACUGGGCGUAAAGCGUGCGUAGGCGGUACAGUCAGUCAGAUGUGAAAUCCCUGGGUUUAACCUAGGAACUGCAUUUGAUACUGGUUUUCUUGAAUACAAUUGAGGUAGGCGGAAUGUGUAGUGUAGCGGUGAAAUGCUUAGAUAUUACACAGAACACCAAUUGCGAAGGCAGCUUACUAAACUGUUAUUGACGCUGAGGCACGAAAGCGUGGGGAUCGAACAGG
RNAcentral lists this ribosomal RNA (429 nucleotides) under uncultured bacterium. Its description in RNAcentral is "bacterial SSU rRNA". It matches the Rfam family "Bacterial small subunit ribosomal RNA", at positions 355 to 776 of the family's 1533-position model. The record is from RNAcentral.